RNAcentral lists this small nuclear RNA (101 nucleotides) under Octodon degus (degu). Lineage: Eukaryota; Metazoa; Chordata; Mammalia; Rodentia; Octodontidae. The record is from RNAcentral.
GUGCUUGUUUUGGCAGCACAUAUACAAAAAUUGGACCCUCACAGAUUAGCAUGGUCCUGCGUAAGGAUGACAGGCAAAUUCGUGAAGCAUUCCACAAUUUU